RNAcentral lists this ribosomal RNA (495 nucleotides) under uncultured bacterium. RNAcentral's name for it is "partial 16S ribosomal RNA". It matches the Rfam family "Bacterial small subunit ribosomal RNA", at positions 28 to 507 of the family's 1533-position model. The record is from RNAcentral.
GACGAACGCUGGCGGCGUGCCUAAUACAUGCAAGUAGAACGCUGAAGGAGGAGCUUGCUUCUCUGGAUGAGUUGCGAACGGGUGAGUAACGCGUAGGUAACCUGCCUGGUAGCGGGGGAUAACUAUUGGAAACGAUAGCUAAUACCGCAUAAUAGCAGAUGUUGCAUGACAUUUGCUUAAAAGGUGCAAUUGCAUCACUACCAGAUGGACCUGCGUUGUAUUAGCUAGUUGGUGAGGUAACGGCUCACCAAGGCAACGAUACAUAGCCGACCUGAGAGGGUGAUCGGCCACACUGGGACUGAGACACGGCCCAGACUCCUACGGGAGGCAGCAGUAGGGAAUCUUCGGCAAUGGACGGAAGUCUGACCGAGCAACGCCGCGUGAGUGAAGAAGGUUUUCGGAUCGUAAAGCUCUGUUGUAAGAGAAGAACGAGUGUGAGAGUGGAAAGUUCACACUGUGACGGUAUCUUACCAGAAAGGGACGGCUAACUACGUG